Molecule: long non-coding RNA, 621 nt
Filed under: Homo sapiens (human)
Lineage: Eukaryota; Metazoa; Chordata; Mammalia; Primates; Hominidae
Description: HSALNT0038463
Source: RNAcentral
CUCCACCCAGUUGGAGCUUCCAGGCUGCUUUGUUUACCGAAUCAAGCCUGGGCAAUGGCGGGCGCCCCUCCCCCAGCCUCGCUGCCGCCUUGCAGUUUGAUCUCAGACUGCUGUGCUAGCAAUCAGCGAGACUCCGUGGGCGUAGGACCCUCCGAGCCAGGUGCAGGACAUAAUCUCGUGAUGAGCCUUUUUUAAGCCUGUCGGAAAAGCGCAGUAUUCAGGUGGGAGUGACCCGAUUUUCCAGGUGCCGUCCGACACCCCUUUCUUUGACUAGGAAAGGGAACUCCCUUACCCCUUGGGCUUCCUGAGUGAGGCAAUGCCUCGCCCUGCUUCGGCUCGCGCACGGGGUGCGCACCCACUGACCUGCACCCGCUGUCUGGCACUCCCUGGUGAGAUGAACCCGGUACCUCAGAUGGAAAUGCUGAAAUCACCCGUCUUCUUCGUCGCUCACGCUGGGAGCUGCAGACAGGAGCUGUUCCUAUGUGGCCAUCUUGGCUCCUCCCUAUGAACUCUUUUUUACAGAUGGCUAUUAGAAGAGCAACCAACGGAGAUUCAUGGCGAGAGAAAGUGGGCUGGGAGUACUGGCAGCUCCUCUGAUAAUUCAGGAGGGCUCCCUGGAUG